Non-coding RNA from Musa acuminata subsp. malaccensis (wild Malaysian banana), 2912 nucleotides. Lineage: Eukaryota; Viridiplantae; Streptophyta; Magnoliopsida; Zingiberales; Musaceae. The record is from RefSeq and is a predicted model, not a curated record.
CUUCCUUCCGUCGUCCGCUUUCUUCGUCGGCCUCCUUCUCGACUCCACCACUCCUCUUCCCUUCUCUGCCGACUGCUUCCUACUGUCCUCCUCUUCACUUGUCGAUCACCUGCCCCCGCCGAUUGAAGAGCAGGUAAUACCCCGUGUGUGAUCGAUCGUGCCUUCUUCUGCCUUCUUUGAUUGGGUACUGCGUGCUUUUGCUGUAAAAGAAUACACGAUCGAUCGUAACGAUUGGGAUUGGGGAAGGAACUUUGGCUUCGAUUCUUGGGGUUGGGAUUUAUCUUAUCUCAAUUCUUGGAAGUUGCCUGGUUCUCGAUCAAGGGUUCUUCAGGAUGUGGUUCGGGAUUCGUGCUCUGUUCAUUACUUCUGAUUCUGGCAAAUCCGCUACGAGUUGAUCGAUCAUCGGUGGUCAAGAGGCUUAUGGUUUUGCCUUGGUUUGGACGAUCUCAUUAUGAAAUCAUGGAGUUCUUGUUCAGUGGUGAAAGUAUAUUAGGAAAAAUAAGCAUGUCUAUGAUAAGGUCUGUGGAUUCAUCUACUGCCAAUGGUGACUCCAACCUUCAUGCAAAUAAAAGUGGUGGUGAGAACUCGGGUUUGCCAAGGCAAAUAUUAAGUGGUGCUGAUAAGCGGAUGUACGACCAUCGGCCUGCUUCCUAUAAAUCAGACUUACAUCCUCAGCAACACUUCAUUGAUUCAUCAUCAGAAAUGAUACAUGUUAAUCCACUUGACAUGUCUAUAUCCAGCAUUCCAGAACACUAUUCUCAAGUUUCAUCAGCUCCCUAUCAGUUGAUAGCAAACUUUCACUCAUCUAUUUUGUCAGAAAAUCCAUACAGCUCUUGCAUUGCUGCAGUUCAGUGUCCUGAUUCCUCAGCAGGCUCUAACGUCUCUCAUCAGGCAUCCCAUUCUUUAUCUGAUUAUCCAAGUCCAGAGCAAGAAAUAGACUAUGGCAAAGAUGAAAUCAGGUUAAAGCUUCAAGAGCUUGAGCAGGCAUUACUGAAUGACAACGAUGAGGACUUGGUGGAUUCCGACCAGGUUGUGGGAAUUGAAGAUAAUUGGACUGAGCCUAUCAAGGACCUAUUAGUUCCUUGCUCACCAAAAGAGUCCUCAUCAGAUUUAAGCAUCAGCUGUAUUGGCAGCAAUAGAGAACCUCCAACUCCUAAGCAGCUACUUUUUGACUGUGCAGCUGCAAUCUCGGUAGGCUGCAUGGAGGAAGCACAAGCCAUCAUAACUGAGCUUCGCCAAAUAGUUUCAAUUCAAGGAGACCCUCCUCAAAGGCUUGCUGCCUACAUGGUGGAAGGUCUUGCAGCAAGAAUAGCUUCUUCAGGACAAGGUAUUUAUAAGGCUCUACGAUGUAAGGAACCCCCUACUUCCGAUCGGCUUUCGGCGAUGCAGAUACUGUUCGAGGUCUGUCCAUGCUUUAAGUUCGGUUACAUGGCAGCAAAUUAUACAAUCGUUGAAGCAUUAGGAGAUGAAGAAAAAGUUCAUAUCAUAGACUUUGACAUAAACCAAGGAAGUCAAUACAUAAACUUGAUACAAACUCUUUCGACGUGGCCCAGCAAACGGCCACACCUAAGAAUAUCUGGUGUUGAUGAUCCCGAGUCAGUGCAACGGGCAGUCGGAGGUUUGGAGAUAAUUGGUCAGCGCCUUGAGAAGCUGGCAGAGGAGCUCGGUGUUCCAUUCGAGUUUCAAGCAAUAGCUGCUAAAACCAGCGAUGUAACACCCGAAAUGCUUGACUGCCGAUCAGGGGAGGCACUUGUGGUCAACUUUGCGUUUCAGCUACAUCACAUGCCAGAUGAGAGUGUAUCAACAGUGAACCAGAGAGAUCAGAUGCUUCGAAUGGUGAAAGGGCUGAGACCAAAGUUGGUAACUCUUAUCGAGCAGGAUAUGAACACUAAUACAGCCCCAUUCUUCCCAAGGUUCGUGGAGGUCUACAAUUAUCAUACAGCGGUCUUUGAAUCACUCGAUGCAACUCUUCCAAGGGACAGCACGGAUCGAAUGAACGUGGAGAGGCAGUGUCUUGCGCGAGAUAUCGUCAACAUCGUUGCCUGCGAAGGUGCUGACCGCAUAGAGAGGUACGAGGUUGCAGGAAAGUGGAGGGCGAGAAUGACGAUGGCCGGGUUCAAACCAUGUCCCUUCAGCACCAGCGUCAAUGGAUCAAUAGGAGCCUUGUUGAAAUCAUACUGUGACAGGUACAAGGCCAAGGAGGAAAACGGGGCACUCUACUUCGGCUGGGAAGACAAGGUUCUAAUCGUUGCCUCGGCAUGGAAAUAAAGCAUUCUUGCCACAUCACAUGGUUUACACUCGACUCAGUUGCUGCUGGGUUGAUAACUGCUCAGAUGGUCUUGUGGCAAGAAUGCAAUACAACUUGGCAUCUUGUAAACGGGGGAUUCUUGAUGUGUUCUUAAGUUGAAUGCAAACAUUGAGGGACAGCUGGAAACCUUGUGAAACAGAUAUUUCACUUUUGUUUCUGGAAUCAGCAUCGAGAAGGAAGAGCUCAGCACCAAUGCAAGGCCUGUAUAAGCAGAGAUGUUCAACAUUAAUUGGUUUCAACAAAGAGAAACUCCAGUGACUUUUUUUCUUUUUGUAAUUGGGGCCCCAGAGCCACACAGUGUAGGCCACAAAGACCAAAAGGUCAUGGUGCGCUACCAUCUCAGAUAAGGAAUGGCGGCAACUCCCCAUGGUUGUUUUGUGAAAUUCAACUGGACUACCGAAGACCAUCUUCACUUGUCAUAUCAUCAUAAAGAUAAGGUGUUCUAUUAAACCUACAGAAACUCAAAUUGUUGAAGAAUAUUUGUCCAAUUAGUUAGAAGUGGUGGUUAUAGGGUGAAUUUGGAGGGUGUGUUUGGACUUUGAUGUAUUUUCCUGUAUUGUUUUGUACAGACUUCAACAUUUUGGAAUAAAAUUUCACUUUUCCA